GACGAACGCUGGCGGCGUGCUUAACACAUGCAAGUCGAACGGAAAGGCCCUGCUUUUGUGGGGUGCUCGAGUGGCGAACGGGUGAGUAACACGUGAGUAACCUGCCCUUGACUUUGGGAUAACUUCAGGAAACUGGGGCUAAUACCGGAUAGGAGCUCCUGCUGCAUGGUGGGGGUUGGAAAGUUUCGGCGGUUGGGGAUGGACUCGCGGCUUAUCAGCUUGUUGGUGGGGUAGUGGCUUACCAAGGCUUUGACGGGUAGCCGGCCUGAGAGGGUGACCGGCCACAUUGGGACUGAGAUACGGCCCAGACUCCUACGGGAGGCAGCAGUGGGGAAUAUUGCACAAUGGGCGGAAGCCCGAUGCAGCAACGCCGCGUGCGGGAUGACGGCCUUCGGGUUGUAAACCGCUUUCGCCUGUGACGAAGCGUGAGUGACGGUAAUGGGUAAAGAAGCACCGGCUAACUACGUGCCAGCAGCCGCGGUGAUACGUAGGGUGCGAGCGUUGUCCGGAUUUAUUGGGCGUAAAGGGCUCGUAGGUGGUUGAUCGCGUCGGAAGUGUAAUCUUGGGGCUUAACCCUGAGCGUGCUUUCGAUACGGGUUGACUUGAGGAAGGUAGGGGAGAAUGGAAUUCCUGGUGGAGCGGUGGAAUGCGCAGAUAUCAGGAGGAACACCAGUGGCGAAGGCGGUUCUCUGGGCCUUUCCUGACGCUGAGGAGCGAAAGCGUGGGGAGCGAACAGGCUUAGAUACCCUGGUAGUCCACGCUGUAAACGGUGGGUACUAGGUGUGGGGUCCAUUCCACGGGUUCCGUGCCGUAGCUAACGCUUUAAGUACCCCGCCUGGGGAGUACGGCCGCAAGGCUAAAACUCAAGGGAAUUGACGGGGCCCCGCACAAGCGGCGGAGCAUGCGGAUUAAUUCGAUGCAACGCGUAGAACCUUACCUGGGUUUGACAUGGAUCGGGAGUGCUCAGAGAUGGGUGUGCCUCUUUUGGGGUCGGUUCACAGGUGGUGCAUGGCUGUCGUCAGCUCGUGUCGUGAGAUGUUGGGUUAAGUCCCGCAACGAGCGCAACCCUUGUUCACUGUUGCCAGCACGUUAUGGUGGGGACUCAGUGGAGACCGCCGGGGUCAACUCGGAGGAAGGUGGGGAUGACGUCAAGUCAUCAUGCCCCUUAUGUCCAGGGCUUCACGCAUGCUACAAUGGCUGGUACAGAGAGUGGCGAGCCUGUGAGGGUGAGCGAAUCUCGGAAAGCCGGUCUCAGUUCGGAUUGGGGUCUGCAACUCGACCUCAUGAAGUCGGAGUCGCUAGUAAUCGCAGAUCAGCAACGCUGCGGUGAAUACGUUCCCGGGGCU
This 1346-nucleotide ribosomal RNA is filed under the name uncultured bacterium. Its description in RNAcentral is "partial 16S ribosomal RNA". It matches the Rfam family "Bacterial small subunit ribosomal RNA", at positions 28 to 1381 of the family's 1533-position model. The record is from RNAcentral.